UACGGAGGGUGCAAGCGUUAUCCGGAAUCAUUGGGUUUAAAGGGUCCGUAGGCGGAUGAUUAAGUCAGUGGUGAAAGCCCACAGCUCAACUGUGGAAAUGCCAUUGAUACUGAUCAUCUUGAGUACGAUUGAAGUUGGCGGAAUAGAUCAUGUAGCGGUGAAAUGCUUAGAUAUGAUCUAGAACACCGAUUGCGAAGGCAGCCAACUAAGCCGUAACUGACGCUGAGGGACGAAAGCGUGGGGAGCGAACAGG
Molecule: ribosomal RNA, 253 nt
Filed under: uncultured bacterium
Lineage: Bacteria
Description: partial 16S ribosomal RNA
Rfam family: Bacterial small subunit ribosomal RNA
Source: RNAcentral